RNAcentral lists this ribosomal RNA (873 nucleotides) under uncultured bacterium. RNAcentral describes it as "bacterial SSU rRNA". It matches the Rfam family "Bacterial small subunit ribosomal RNA", at positions 9 to 873 of the family's 1533-position model. The record is from RNAcentral.
AGAGUUUGAUCCUGGCUCAGAUUGAACGCUGGCGGCAGGCUUAACACAUGCAAGUCGAGCGGGGAAGUAUAGCUUGCUAUACGACCUAGCGGCGGACGGGUGAGUAAUGCUUAGGAAUCUGCCUAUUAGUGGGGGACAACAUUCCGAAAGGAAUGCUAAUACCGCAUACGCCCUACGGGGGAAAGCAGGGGAUCUUCGGACCUUGCGCUAAUAGAUGAGCCUAAGUCAGAUUAGCUAGUUGGUGGGGUAAAGGCCUACCAAGGCGACGAUCUGUAGCGGGUCUGAGAGGAUGAUCCGCCACACUGGGACUGAGACACGGCCCAGACUCCUACGGGAGGCAGCAGUGGGGAAUAUUGGACAAUGGGCGCAAGCCUGAUCCAGCCAUGCCGCGUGUGUGAAGAAGGCCUUUUGGUUGUAAAGCACUUUAAGCGAGGAGGAGGCUACUUGGAUUAAUACUCUAGGAUAGUGGACGUUACUCGCAGAAUAAGCACCGGCUAACUCUGUGCCAGCAGCCGCGGUAAUACAGAGGGUGCGAGCGUUAAUCGGAUUUACUGGGCGUAAAGCGUGCGUAGGCGGCUUUUUAAGUCGGAUGUGAAAUCCCUGAGCUUAACUUAGGAAUUGCAUUCGAUACUGGGAAGCUAGAGUAUGGGAGAGGAUGGUAGAAUUCCAGGUGUAGCGGUGAAAUGCGUAGAGAUCUGGAGGAAUACCGAUGGCGAAGGCAGCCAUCUGGCCUAAUACUGACGCUGAGGUACGAAAGCAUGGGGAGCAAACAGGAUUAGAUACCCUGGUAGUCCAUGCCGUAAACGAUGUCUACUAGCCGUUGGGGCCUUUGAGGCUUUAGUGGCGCAGCUAACGCGAUAAGUAGACCGCCUG